This 73-nucleotide transfer RNA is filed under the name Camelus bactrianus (Bactrian camel). It matches the Rfam family "tRNA". Rfam says of the family: Transfer RNA (tRNA) molecules are approximately 80 nucleotides in length. Their secondary structure includes four short double-helical elements and three loops (D, anti-codon, and T loops). Lineage: Eukaryota; Metazoa; Chordata; Mammalia; Artiodactyla; Camelidae. RNAcentral also lists the same sequence under 3 other names. The record is from Rfam by way of RNAcentral.
GAGGGUAUAGCUCAAGUAGUAGGGUGGGUGCCUGGCAUGCACAAGGUCCGGGGUUCAACCCCUAGUACCUCCU